UUCUAAGUGGGAUAUCGAGGGACUUUCCGAAAGCAAUUUGGAAUUGUGGAAAGCGAAGAUGGAAGCAAUUUUAAUGUUCGGGAUGAUGGGUAAAACAUGGAGUGUUGUUAUCCGGUGACUCGAAGAUAACGAGUUAAUGGAGAUGGUGAAGAUGGUCGGCCUGGAGAGGCGGUGGUAAUAAUACUCGACAUCAGCCUGGAGAGGCGGUGCUAAGAAUACUCGGG
This 224-nucleotide long non-coding RNA is filed under the name Trifolium pratense (red clover). Its description in RNAcentral is "long non-coding RNA (TPRA_LNC010095)". Lineage: Eukaryota; Viridiplantae; Streptophyta; Magnoliopsida; Fabales; Fabaceae. The record is from RNAcentral.